RNAcentral lists this ribosomal RNA (1313 nucleotides) under Nephromopsis nivalis. Its description in RNAcentral is "eukaryotic LSU rRNA". It matches the Rfam family "Eukaryotic large subunit ribosomal RNA", at positions 65 to 1397 of the family's 3401-position model. The record is from RNAcentral. Lineage: Eukaryota; Fungi; Ascomycota; Lecanoromycetes; Lecanorales; Parmeliaceae.
CCAACAGGGAUUGCCUCAGUAACGGCGAGUGAAGCGGCAACAGCUCAAAUUUGAAAUCUGGCUCUUUCAGGGUCCGAGUUGUAAUUUGUAGAGAGUGCUUCGGGUGAGACCGCGGUCUAAGUCCAUUGGAACAUGGCGUCAUAGAGGGUGAGAAUCCCGUAUGUGACUGUGGCUCGAGCCCAUGUGAAGCCUCUUCGACGAGUCGAGUUGUUUGGGAAUGCAGCUCAAAAUGGGUGGUAAAUUUCAUCUAAAGCUAAAUACUGGCUGGAGACCGAUAGCGCACAAGUAGAGUGAUCGAAAGAUGAAAAGCACUUUGGAAAGAGAGUCAAACAGUACGUGAAAUUGUUGAAAGGGAAGCGCUUGCAACCAGACCUGUCCGUAGGUGAUCAGCCGCUGUUCUCAGUGGUGCACUCGCUCUACGAUCAGGCCAGCAUCGGUUCUGGCGGCCGGAUAAAGGCCUUGGGAAUGUAGCUCCCUCCGGGGAGUCUUAUAGCCCUCGGUGCAAUGCGGCCAGCCGGGACCGAGGACCGCGCUUCGGCUAGGAUGCUGGCGUAAUGGUUGUAAGCGACCCGUCUUGAAACACGGACCAAGGAGUCUAACAUCUACGCGAGUGUUUGGGUGUUAAACCCAUGCGCGGAAUGAAAGUGAACGGAGGUGAGAACCCUUAAGGGCGCAUCAUCGACCGAUCCAGAUGUCUUCGGAUGGAUUUGAGUAUGAGCGUAGCUGUUGGGACCCGAAAGACAGUGAACUAUGCCUGAAUAGGGUGAAGCCAGAGGAAACUCUGGUGGAGGCUCGCAGCGGUUCUGACGUGCAAAUCGAUCGUCAAAUUUGGGUAUAGGGGCGAAAGACUAAUCGAACUGUCUAGUAGCUGGUUCCUGCCGAAGUUUCCCUCAGGAUAGCAGUAACGUUUUCAGUUUUAUGAGGUAAAGCGAAUGAUUAGAGGCCUUGGGGUUGAAACAACCUUAACCUAUUCUCAAACUUUAAAUAUGUAAGAAGUCCUUGUUACUUAGUUGAACGUGGRCAUUUGAAUGCACCGUUACUAGUGGGCCAUUUUUGGUAAGCAGAACUGGCGAUGCGGGAUGAACCGAACGCGAGGUUAAGGUGCCGGAAUGUACGCUCAUCAGACACCACAAAAGGUGUUGAUUCAUCUAGACAGCCGGACGGUGGCCAUGGAAGUCGGAAACCGCUAAGGAGUGUGUAACAACUCACCGGCCGAAUGAAUCAGCCCUGAAAAUGGAUGGCGCUCAAGCGUGCUACCCAUACCUCGCCGCCAGGGUAGAAACGAUGCCCUGGCGAGUAGGCAGGCGUGGGGG